RNAcentral lists this ribosomal RNA (524 nucleotides) under uncultured bacterium. RNAcentral's name for it is "bacterial SSU rRNA". It matches the Rfam family "Bacterial small subunit ribosomal RNA", at positions 321 to 842 of the family's 1533-position model. The record is from RNAcentral.
GAGACACGGACCAGACUCCUACGGGAGGCAGCAGUGAGGAAUAUUGGUCAAUGGGAGAGAUCCUGAACCAGCCAAGCCGCGUGAGGGAAGACGGCCCUAUGGGUUGUAAACCUCUUUUGUCGGAGAACAAAACCCGGGACGAGUCCCGGACUGCGUGUAUCCGAAGAAAAAGCAUCGGCUAACUCCGUGCCAGCAGCCGCGGUAAUACGGAGGAUGCGAGCGUUAUCCGGAUUUAUUGGGUUUAAAGGGUGCGUAGGCGGUCUGUUAAGUCAGCGGUAAAAUUGCGGGGCUCAACCCCGUCGAGCCGUUGAAACUGGCAGACUUGAGUUGGCGAGAAGUACGCGGAAUGCGCGGUGUAGCGGUGAAAUGCAUAGAUAUCGCGCAGAACUCCGAUUGCGAAGGCAGCGUACCGGCGCCAGACUGACGCUGAGGCACGAAAGCGUGGGGAUCGAACAGGAUUAGAUACCCUGGUAGUCCACGCAGUAAACGAUGAAUGCUGGUUGUCCGGGUCGAAUGAGAUCUGG